UAACGCGUAAAGAACUUGCCUCACAGCUAGGGACAACAUUUGGAAACGAAUGCUAAUACCUAAUAUUAUGAUAAUAGGGCAUCCUAUAAUUAUGAAAGCUAUAAGCGCUGUGAGAGAGCUUUGCGUCCCAUUAGCUAGUUGGAGAGGUAACGGCUCACCAAGGCGAUGAUGGGUAGCCGGCCUGAGAGGGCGAUCGGCCACAAGGGGACUGAGACACGGCCCUU
RNAcentral lists this ribosomal RNA (224 nucleotides) under uncultured bacterium. RNAcentral describes it as "partial 16S ribosomal RNA". It matches the Rfam family "Bacterial small subunit ribosomal RNA", at positions 111 to 334 of the family's 1533-position model. The record is from RNAcentral.